This 459-nucleotide ribosomal RNA is filed under the name uncultured bacterium. RNAcentral's name for it is "SSU rRNA". It matches the Rfam family "Bacterial small subunit ribosomal RNA", at positions 26 to 518 of the family's 1533-position model. The record is from RNAcentral.
AGAAUCAACGCUGGCGGCGUGCCUAACACAUGCAAGUCGAACGAGAAAGUGGGAGCAAUCCCACGAGUAAAGUGGCGCACGGGUGAGUAACACGUGACUAACCUACCCUUGAGUGGGGGAUAACCUAGGGAAACCUGGGCUAAUACCGCAUAAUACCUACGGGUCAAAGGAGCAAUUCGCUUUAGGAGGGGGUCGCGGCAGAUUAGUUAGUUGGCGGGGUAAUGGCCCACCAAGACAGUGAUCUGUAUCCGGCCUGAGAGGGCGCACGGACACACUGGAACUGAAACACGGUCCAGACUCCUACGGGAGGCAGCAGUGGGGAAUUUGCGCAAUGGGGGAAACCCUGACGCAGCAACGCCGCGUGGAGGAUGAAGCCCCUUGGGGCGUAAACUCCUUUCGAUCGGGAGAUAAUGACGGUACCGGAAGAAGAAGCCCGGCUAACUUCGCGCCAGCAGCCGC